AAUGCUUCCCUUUUGAGAAGUAUAUGUGUGAUGUUGUGGUGAGGAUAUUUUUGCUAGUGUUUGGGAGAGAGACUUUUUACUGCUAGUGGAACUGAAGCUGUAGUGUAGAAAAUGGCAGAUUAUUACAAAUUUCAUUCCAACUGCCACAAAGAGAUUGAGUGGGGUUUACAAUGUUUAUUAGGCAACUCAACAAACUGUCUUAAUUUGCAUAUCUCUUUAAAAAUAACAGUGCAGAAAAACAGCUGUUGUUUUAUUAAAUUUGAGUGCCUUGUUAAUCAUACCAUACCAAAGUUUUUUGAAAGCAGCAAUUAAGAGGGGAAAAAACAUCUUCUCAGAGGCAGAAGGUGGAUUUCUGCUCCAUAUUUAUCUGCUUUUCCAAACUUCAGGGUUAAGAUUUUGUUUUCCUCUCACUUCCUUCAGUGGAGUUGCCCCUAACUGGCAGUGCUGUUGCUGAAGGAUUUGGUUCAUUAACAUCUAAGAUGUGUGUGUGUGUGUGGAAGGGAAGCAGAGUGGGUUUUAGAUCUGGGACAGAGGGUAGCAGCUGACCUUGUUCAUUGGAUUUUUCUUCUGGGGUGAUGAGUAAAGAGCUAUAUCGCUUUGUGGAAGUUUCAUGGGUCAGAGAGGUGUUUUUCACCUAUGCCUCAUCAAUAGACUCCUCUUCCAGUUUAAGAUCAUUUUACCGUCAUUGCAGAUUUUUACUGCUGUUGCCUCUGCUUUAUGGGCUUUAUAACUGAAUGAGUGUUUUGCAGGUUGACAUAAGGGCAGCUGUCUGCACGAAAGCCAAGAUGGUAUUUGGGAAAGGGUGUGUGACCCUUUUAGCUGUUGCCUGUGAGCUGUAUCAAAGAUGUGAAGGUUUUGACCUAUAAAGCUAUUAAUGGCUAGUAGCAGAGAUUUUUUUUGUGCCUGUAGGAGAUUUCUCCUUUUGUAUCUAGGAGAUGGGACAGCUGCCAGAGAAUUCCCUGCACCUCUGAAAUUCCCUUCUUCCCACUCUCUGAAACAGCUGUAAUUUGCCAGUCCUACUAGGCACUUCUGUUUCACCAGGCCUUUGAGGAAUGUCAAGGUGACUGUAAAUAACGUAUUUAAAUACUGUGGCACGAUGGAAGAGAUGUGUCCUUUGUCUUCAGGGCAUUUUGCCUUGAAGAGUCAGAGGGUGCUUGAGUCUGAAUGGAGUCAGAUAUUUUCCAUUCUGAAGCUAAAGAAGGUAAAUGAGAUAUGCAGGUGUUAAACCAACUGGUGACUUCAGGUACUUAUAGGCAUAUAUUGUCAAGUCUAAGGCAGAUUCUAUUUGUUGCUAAGCUGGGCUUUUGUUUUCCCAGUCUUCUGGAUACAAGUACAUAGGAGAGGGGAAGGGCUUAUCAGUGUUACUUGAUUUAGUCCCCUCUAGCUGCAGGCAUUUGUGUGGUAGAGGAUUGUGCAGAAAAUGCGCUCCACAAAUUUCCACAAGCAAUGAAAUGUUUCCCCCUGUAGCAAACCUAAGGCUUGUAAGAGAAGCCAAAACUGUAAUGUGCUACAAGAAGUGGUGGAGGUGGGAAUGGAAGAAGAGCAAGGGUAGCCCUGUAUUCAAGUCCCAGCAAUAUCGGGGUGUUAGAGAAAAUCCCUGAGUACUUUAAAGUGGGUUACAACCACCCUCUGGAGGAAAGGAUAGAUUUUCCUUCCUGGGCACAGCUAUGAUGAUUAGUUUAGCACAGGAGUAUACAAGCAGGGCACACUGACCACAAAAUAAGAGAACUUACUACAACAAAGUGACCUUAGUGCCAUUACUUUUAAUUGUGUGGCCCUCAAAGGGAAAGUACAGGCAAUUUACUUGAGCAGCUUGAAAUAUUUGGGAAUUAGUCAGCUGUUCCAUGUUAGCACUUCUGGUAACGCCUAGUGUACGCUGGGUGCAGGACCAAAAAAAAUGCUGAAAAUCAUUCUGCAUCUUCACUUCAACUGUGUAGAAGGAAAGGACUCCGGGCAAGGGCUGUAAGCUGACACAAUACUCAUGAGAGUGCCACAUAAUCUCAAACUGAUCUUUUUGCAGUGCAAGGAAGUACUGCUUUUACUUUCGGUUGUAAAUGGAGAUAAAAAAGUAGAACUGCCUUUUUUCUUUUACAUGAAAUUUUUGUAAACUGUAUGGAUUUUGGUUAUAAGCCUGGCACCUCAUUAAUGCGUAUGGUACAUUUUGAGAAGGACGGACAGCAAUGCUAUUGUCGCAGAAAGACAUUCCAGCAAAGCCACCAUGAGGUGAGCUUGUAUGACCACCUUUCCUUGUGAAACAGGGUGACAAUUUUUGCUUCUACAGAGGUGAAGAGAUUGUUUUCAACCUUUUGUAACUUCUCAACAUGAAGGCUGCACAAACAUUUGUGCAGCACAGCAGACCAUUCUCUUGAGCUAAAGAUUGUCUGGCAUCUUGCUGGAAAAGCAGUGUGGUACCUAAAGUAAAAAAAGUUUCUAUGGUUUUUGUUUUGUUUUGGUUUUUUACACUUUGCAAACCCUUUUUGAAAAGAAAUAGCAUUUCUGUUACUUUACGUCUUAGGGACUGCCUAAGGUCCCUUUUGGAAGCCAGAAGACUUUAUCAUGGUCAUAAAUUUCUUGCUCUGAAGUGGAGAAAAACAUGUUUUAACGGGUGCAAGUCUCUCAAGAUACCACAACAAGAAGAAACAGAGGAAAGGUCUAUUACUUGUAAUAGACUGGAGAAUUCCACAGCCAAGAUGAGACUCCUCACCUAAUUUCAUCCACUGAAAGUUAGCUUCCUAGAUAAAGUUAAUCAUUAGGUUCUGCAGGCAGUAGAGAAGAGGUGAAUUGCCUUUGGACACACCCACGUUACUUAUUUGAGAAAUUGUUUUAGAAUGGCAUAAAUCUCUCUCCCCAUUUCUUGGGAGAUUUAAAUGAGGGAUUUAGUUUUUAGGUAGGUGAAGCUGAAUUAAAUUGAUCUUUUUUUGCUGACCAUGCUUGUGUCUAGAUGAAGCUGUUACAUACUUCAAGCAGGGCCACAAGGACAACAGGGCACCAGAAUAACCCCUUUAGAAUUCUUCCUUGGGGAAGAAUUAUUGAGAUAAAUUCAGUUUCCACAUCAUCUGAUCUUGCAGGUGUCUACAGGUUCAGCCAUAAACAGCACUUUGAAUAGCUGAGAAUGAGUCAGGCUCUGCCUGCUGAUGUACACCCUGGGACUGUGUACUGCCACUGUGGGAAGUUUGCUAUUUUUUCCUUCAAGAAAACUACACGAUAGUUUCUGUCCUCUCCCAGUUUUUUUUACUUUAUAAAGUGAAAACACUGUAAUAAUUUUACAGAGGUUUCUUUGCAACAGAUAUAGAUGUAGGGUCUGACAGUAGAUGUAAAAGUCUUCAUUCUCUUCCAUUUCUGAAGCGGGUUUGUUGUUCUCUGGAAGACGUGAGAGUGCUGUCGGUCACUUGUGUUAACAGGACGAAGUCAAGCCUUUAAGGAGAUCUGCAGUGUGCUGUCAAAAUGGCAUCAUCUAUGAGAGUACAGACUGUAAAUUCCCUGGGGUGGGAACUAGGUUGUGAAUGGGUAACACAUAACUAAUAUAUAAAGAUUAUUAACUCUCAGAAAUGGAUUCAGUUUCCUAAGCAGAGGUCUCUAGUGCUAUUUUGGGAUACAUCAGCUGGCGUCCACCUGCAGCUCUGGAAAGGCAUGGGUCUUCCUUAGACCCUGGGCCAUGUCAGCUGGCCCCAUGGCCAAGGACUCUGAAAUGGCACACGCCUGAGUAUGGGUUUUGUUUGCCUUAACAAGAGUCAUUUGAAACAAGAUGCUGAUAGUAUUUCCAGGAUGAGGAUUUUCAGAGGUCUUAGGCUCAAGAGAGGUUUGUCGUUGGUGUAUAUGUUUCAGUGUGAGGGAGGUGUGCUCCAUGAAGGUAUAGUUGAGAGUCUUUGUACAACAGUGGGCACGAGAUUGGACAGUCUUUUCAGAUGCUCAAGACUUCUCCUUUCUGCUUUGUGAAGGCUUUCAUGGUACCAAGUCACUGUUCUAAUAAUAAGCUAAUAACAGUCAAGACUGAUCACUAACAUUUUCAGUAUGGUAAAAAAGGUAGUAAAGUAGCUCAGAAAAAACCUCUGAAGAGCAAUCUUGCCAGAAGAAAUGUUUUUAAUCCCUGCAAGGAGGGGUUUUGGUUUUGCCAUCCUGAGCACUCUGAUAUAUCCCAGCCCCUUCCGUGCUACAGGGCUUGCACAGGACUUGGAAAUCUUUCUCCAUUCUGUUAACAAGCACCAACUGAGCUGUGUGGGUGAUCUCAGCCUCAUUAAGAGGAGCCAAAAAGCUGCCUAAUGAGAACUGAGUGUCAGCAGCUCUGGGAGGAGCAAAACAUCUGUGUAUGGAAUGAUAAAAAACCAGUUUCUGCUGGUACAAUGUUAGAGAUGUAGUCGGUGUUUUUGUAGUGCAGAUGACACAAUGUAUGUGCAGUAGGGCAUUAAUUUCUUGAGCAAGGUGCCCUGUGCUAAAAUAUGUGUCUAUUGAUGCAACCAAUACAUUUGGCCUUGAGAGGGAGAGGGGAACAAGUGCAAUGGAAGAACACGUGAUAGUGUAAAGGGGAGCAGGGAGUAAAAGACCUGGGGAAAGAUUAGAAAAUGCAAAACAAGGAAACAUUGCAAAUUAUCGUAUGCUUUCAAAGAAGAAAAUGAGAAGCAAGAAGUCUUCAGGGGGAAAAAAAAAAAGAAGAAGAAAUUAUAUCCAGCAUUAAAGUUAAUUGGAGCUGUGUUUGUUUUGUACUGUAUUUGUUUAUCUUUUUGGAUGGAGCGGUGUAUUAAUAGUACAUAGCUGUGGUUUGUAUUAAAGCAUACAGAGCUAAUCAAUACUUGGGUAAACCUUACGAACUGCAGUUGUGUUUGAUUCACUGUUUUAUAAUGGAGAACUCAAAAGCCUUUUCAGCCUUCCACUGAAACCAUGGGACUGUUUGGGUCACAGAACAGAAUGUCCACGUCAAAUUUUUCAACGGAAAACUGCAAACAAAAAUGAGAGUGCAAACCGUGCUCUUCAUCCCACCUGUAGUCACCAGCAUCUGUGUGCCACCACAGUCAAAGUUGGGGACAGCCAAGUCGGAAUUCAUUUUAUCAGAAGAUUACAACAAGAUGACAUUGGUGAAAACUUACCAGGCUCAUCAAAGCAGGGUCAUGAUGAUUCUCUUCGUCCUGGAGAUGGAGUGGGUGUUAAGCACCGGACAAGACAAACACUUCACGUGGCACUGUUCAGAGAGCGGCCAGCGGCUGGGAGGGUACCGCACCAGCGCAGGCGCCUGUGGCCUGCAAUUUGAUGUGGAAACCCGGCACGUGUUUGUUGGUGAUCAUUCUGGGCAAGUGACCAUACUCAAACUAGAGCAAGAGUCCUGCAGCCUUGUUACGACAUUUAAGGGCCACACAGGUGGUGUCACUGCUCUCUGUUGGGACCCAAUACAGCGAGUUUUAUUCUCGGGCAGUUCUGAUCAUUCCAUUAUAAUGUGGGAUAUUGGAGGAAGAAAAGGAACAGCCAUCGAGCUGCAAGGACAUAAUGAUAAAGUUCAGUCUCUCUCCUACGCUCACCACACUCGGCAGCUCAUCUCCUGUGGUGCAGAUGGGGGAAUCGUCGUCUGGAACAUGGAUGUUGAGAGGCAGGAGACCCCAGAGUGGCUGGAUAGUGACUCCUGUCAAAAAUGUGACCAGCCUUUCUUCUGGAACUUCAAGCAAAUGUGGGACAGUAAGAAAAUAGGCCUCAGGCAGCAUCACUGUCGGAAGUGUGGGAAAGCCGUCUGCGGCAAAUGCAGCUCCAAGCGCUCCUCCAUCCCGCUGAUGGGGUUUGAGUUCGAAGUGAGGGUCUGCGAUAGCUGUCACGAGUCCAUCACGGAUGAAGAGCGGGCGCCCACAGCCACUUUCCACGACAGUAAGCACAACAUCGUUCACGUACACUUUGAUGCCACGAGGGGAUGGCUGUUGACCUCAGGGACAGACAAGGUUAUUAAGUUGUGGGAUAUGACACCAGUAGUUUCUUGAUGGUACGUCAGUGGAACUUACAGAAGAAACAGUUUUCCUAACCCUAAUCAUACUGCAGAAGAUAGGUAACGCUGGGUGCAUAUGGCAGAUCAGAAAGGAACUAAUGCGUUUACAACGAUUUUACGUCCUCUGCUUGAUCAAGGCUGAACAUUUGCACGAAGACUCUUUCCACUUAUUCUCAAAAUAUACAAGAAGCUAGAUGCUUUUUUCCUCUUGGAAGGCUUUUCGUUACACCUUGUGCAUGUUUUCUGAUGACUGAAGUGUUCUUGGCUGACAAAGCUAUGCAAGAUGAGCAAGUUGCCUGCCAAUAUUUCACUCCAGCUGGAGAAGAUGUAUGAAACUUUGCUGGACUAUGCUGUUCCAUGUUACCUUGGGCUCAGGGCCUGUUGGCCGAAGACCUGACUUGCUUUGCUCUGCAGAGAGUAUCUCUCACGGUGGCAGAAACACGGGAGCACUGAAGUGCACUUAAAUCACUGUUCAGCGCUCUCCUGAGGAGACAGCGGUUGCAGCAAGCCUGGGACUCCAGCGUGAAUUGUGCUUACACUGAUGGAGUGGUGGAGUCAGCAAGCUGAGGAUCUGCCCCCGGGUCAACGCCUAGAACUUUUGAACACGUAACGUUCAAACAGAGGAUGGAUUCCUGUGCCAAGUCCCUUCAGCGUUGUCCUCUUGCAUAAUAUUGAGGAAGAAACAGAUUUUUCUCUUCAAAAUUGCAUGUGAAAUUUGGCAGGAAAUCUUUGCUCCUCAGAAGAAAGAAGUGGUCCAUAGUUUGACAAUAACCUGAGGUUCUGGAAUUUAACUCUGGUCACUCACAUGUGAUUUUUUCAUUGCAUUUUCCCAGUUUGGGUGAUUUUCCCUUGUGACCAGUCUUUGGCCAUCUCUGAAAUUUUGUUUGCUGCAGGACAACACUGUGCUGCUAAGAACAGAAAGAGGUUGAGCUCAAAAGCAUUGAAAUUGGUGCCAUGUGAGGACAUCGAACUCAAAAUAAAAUCAAAACAAGAGAGCACAGUCUACUGGCAAAGUCUUUGCAAGGAAGAGAUGCCAAGAGAGAAUGUUAUCAGCAUACAAAAAAAGCCAGCAGUGUAGAAAUGGAAUAUUCAUCAGAACUGUGCAAAGCUGAACCAUCCCCUCUCCCAGCACUGCAAGCUGACCAGCAGCCCUGGUCAGGAGCCAGAAGCCACAAGGAGCGGAGUUGUUCUAGUGAUGGGGUGGUAGAUCAAGUCUAUGAAUAUCUGACUUAAAUUUCUUGCUCUUUGGUUUGAUUGCCCAACAGCAUUUAUCUACCUCAAGUAGUGUUGUAAGAAAUGCAUUAAAUGUGGAAGCACUUCGACAUUAAAAUGAUGGGGAAGAGACACAUCACUACUGAGAUGGUGCAGAAGAGGAGUCAGGCCUUAUGAAGAUACAGGUUUUGCCUCUCUCCAGUUACUUGUUCCCUAUACAUUAAAUAACCUGAAUUUAUUAAAGGUUUUAUCACCUUUGUACUUUCCAGGCUUCUUUACACAAUUUUUUCAUCCCUCUUCACUGAAUUCAGCACCUUUGCAGAUACUAACCAAAUGCAAACAUUUCAUAACAGGUCAGGGCUUCCCUCAGAGGUGAGAGACCCAUCAUUAACACCUCUACUUUGUCCUGUCCCAAGAAAAUUCGGUGGGGUUGCCACCACCAAGUAAUCAAGAAAGUGUCAGAAAAAAAUGAGUUAUGCAAACUUGAUUCAUCUUUGCCGUUACCACUAGUUCCAGAAUAGAGGGAUUUUACAUCCAAAAAAAUCUUACUGUCUUUUGAUCAGGUCAGUGUUUACUAGGAAUACUGCUCAGCAAUUUGACCAUCUUUUCUGCUAAUUAUAGUGUAACACUUUGUAGUUCUGUUCCAUUAUGUAAAUAAGUGUCUCCAACAAAACCGAAUAAAUUGUGCUAGUUUAACCCCACUAAAUUAAUUUCUAUCAGCUCCUGGCUAUUACUUUUCCUUCUCUAUGUGUGUGUUGAUUUGUAAUGAGGAAUUUGGGUUAUUGAGUUCUGACUGGACCCGUUCACCUACCUGUUCUCUGAGCUGGCAUAGAACUGACAACUGUUGCGUGGGCGAGCGGGGACAUUUCUUUGCCAGGACAAAUUCUCACUCCGCCCGCCUGGCCGUGGGUGACCAGCCCAGGGACGAGGGUGUUUGGGCAGUGAAUGAAUUGUGCAAUUUUCUGUAUCGCCCCAAGGCUCUGUGUGGAUUGCAGCUUCUCAGCUGGAAAGUAAAGGGAAGAUGCCCAAGAACAUUUUUAACUAUCAAGGAAAACGCCACUUUUUGGGAGCUCCCUGAAGUUUGCACUAGUGCAGGUUUUACCCCUCUUCCUCUGUUCUAGGAAUGUUUUUAUCUGUGAAAUCCCCCUGGCACUGCUGGCACAGCAAAGGUUUGAGUUGUUUCUCGUGCUGGUAGGCUGAAAACCUGCCUGCGCAAGACCUUUGGGCAGGCUGGUGCUGUGUCUCUUUGUAAGGCUGUGCGUUAGCUUUUGUCUUGAGAAAGAACAAGUUUCCUUCACAUCAUUUUUCCUACCGUUUAUCUGAUGGCUCCCGCUAGAGAGAGGAACAUAAAUAUGACCUACUUCACAAAUUGAAGUUGGAUUUGGUCACUUUUAGUCCUAGAAGUGGAUUUGUUACGCUUGCUCCCCAUUAGAGUCCCUGCCUUUUCAAUGCCUUCUUUCUCUCAUUGUCUAGAUCAGGAUGACUGCGGGAGUAGAGAGUUUUCAAGUCGUCUCACUUGCAUUUUGAAAUUAUCUCCUGUAAUCAGUCUCUGGAUCCACCCAAAUGCACCCAGAACUACCUCUCCCAACGAAACAAGAGAUGUAAGCCUGAUGGACAAACAAGGAAGUACGCUGAGCUGAGCCAGGAGAGAUCUGAAGCUUCCCGCUGCCAUUCAAAGUGGUAACAGCUCGUUUAAAGUGGGUGAAUGUGGGUUGACCAGCACUAAUUUUAGAUAAGGAGGAUCUCGUGUUAUGAGAAGGGGCACUUUAUUUUUGCAUGAGGUGUGAGAGCAACACACACAGGGAAUGGAAGAUGGGCACAGGAAAAAGGAAUUUAAGGAUUAAACUGGUUUGUAACUGCCCUUCUCCACUGGAGUCAAUGACCACCAGGUUGGUCUCUGAAAGAGUAGCUCUUAUGUUCACUCUCCACUCACCGAGUUAAACAUUGGUUAAUGAAAACUAGUACUGCUCCGACUGCUAUGGCUUUAAAAAAUGCUCUGUCAUUCAAAAAAUACAAGUAGUGAUUGAAUUGAAAAUUGGCAUGUCUGGCCCAGGGCUGUGUCCCACCAAAUAAAUUGUUUACAUUGAGUUUUUCAGCACUGACCUAAGUCUGUCUACAUUGACGUCUGUAGUACAACUCCCAUCUUUGAGCCCAGGCAGGGGAUUUCAUCAUCCCCCCCUGCCCUGAGCCUUGUUUAAGGGGGUGUCCCUGCCUGCAUCUUGUUCCCACGGGUGGAACAGGGAGUGCGGAGAGCUGGGACAGCACAAAAGCUGGCGGGGGUGCUGCUGCAAAUGCAGACAGCUGGUACGUGCAGUUUACUCCAAAAUAGUGAGGUAUAUAUGGGAAUGCCCUGCCAUUCAAAGGCAGACAACAAACAAUUGUUUAUAACUUUAAUCAACCACAGAUUGCUUUGUUUUGGUUUUUGGUUUUUUUUUUUUUUUUUUUUUUCAAAGAAUAAACAUUGGCCCAGAAAUGAAGCUUUGAAGAAAAGGAAAUGCAGGUUACAAAAUCAUCUGAUAUCUGUUACGUUGACCUCCUAAAAUUUUCACCAAAGACAGAGGAAUGUUUCAGUGGCCCCUGCAUCACUGCAGUCACCUUCUAUUUCUGGUAAUCUGUCACUGGAUGCUGUUUUCCUCUUGCCCCUAAAACUUUAUAGGUGGCACUAAAUGUAUUUGCUUACAUGCAGGUACAAGUCAUUCUGAAUUGCAUUAACACAAAGCAUCCCACUGGCUUUACAGCCACAGGCCAUGUUUGCUCUUGGGGAAAAGGGCUGAAAUAAAGCAUCGUCAGGACCAUAAUACCAGAGCGUGGGAGACUCUGGAUUUUGUUUCUAAUUGCUGUCUUGUGUUUUAAUUCUCUUUAAAUCACAAGUGUUCUUAAACCACAGUAUCUGGCUCUUUUACACUGUGACCAAACUUUGAUUAAAGCAGCUUUCAUACCUUUGGCUUCGUUUUUAAGCUGUGACUAAAAAGAAAAAUGCAGGCUAUUCAAAUACAUCAGUACAGAAUGUGGACUAAAAUACAUGUUAUAUAUAUUAUGCACUUUGGUUAUUUUUAUAAACUAUUUAAAUAGCAGUCAUUAAACUUUUCUACUAUACUGCAGAGCUGAGAAGCAACUUGACUUACUCAAGUAUGCAAAUGUUAUUAGCCUUGAAGCUACUGGACUGAGAAACAUAGUUACUAUAUACACUUCCAGCUAUGCUCUUGUUUUCAGUAACUGUAUUUAACAGUUUGAACCAUGUAAAAUGUUAAUAAAUACCAGACUUCUAGGAAAUAAA
RNA transcript from Aquila chrysaetos chrysaetos, 10448 nucleotides. It is a transcript of the gene named WD repeat and FYVE domain containing 2, with no coding region annotated. The record is from RefSeq and is a predicted model, not a curated record. The transcript is spliced from 13 exons. NCBI's taxonomy places the organism in Eukaryota, Metazoa, Chordata, Aves, Accipitriformes, Accipitridae.